RNAcentral lists this ribosomal RNA (253 nucleotides) under uncultured bacterium. RNAcentral describes it as "partial 16S ribosomal RNA". It matches the Rfam family "Bacterial small subunit ribosomal RNA", at positions 524 to 776 of the family's 1533-position model. The record is from RNAcentral.
UACGUAGGGGGCAAGCGUUGUCCGGAAUCAUUGGGCGUAAAGAGCGCGUAGGCGGUCCGGUAAGUCCGCUCUGAAAGCCCGGGGCUCAACCCCGGGAGGCGGGCGGAUACUGUCGGGCUAGAGUCCGGAAGAGGCGAGUGGAAUUCCUGGUGUAGCGGUGAAAUGCGCAGAUAUCAGGAGGAACACCGAUGGCGAAGGCAGCUCGCUGGGACGGUACUGACGCUGAGGCGCGAAAGCUAGGGGAGCAAACGGG